Molecule: RNA transcript, 2023 nt
Organism: Benincasa hispida (wax gourd)
Lineage: Eukaryota; Viridiplantae; Streptophyta; Magnoliopsida; Cucurbitales; Cucurbitaceae
Gene name: U-box domain-containing protein 4-like
Source: RefSeq, a predicted model, not a curated record
AGCUCGUUUCUUAAAUUAAAAGAGAAAAAUUGAAGAUGAUGACAAAACCUUGAGAGCCAUCCGCAUCUUAGAAAAAUCACCCUUGUGGUUUGGUGGGGGUCGUUGGGGGUCUUAAGAUUAACGACGGCAAUUUAUCCAUUUAUUAAUUAAUCAACGAACACUCCCAAUUAUAUAUUUGUAAUGGUUUCCUCGAUAAAAAGAAAAGGAAUUUCAGAAGGAGAAGAAGGCAAACUCCAAUUUCAGGAAGUCAGCAUCAUUCCUCCUUACUCUCAGGACUUUGUUUUAAUUUGGACACUGCUUGGAUAUUGGACCUGCCUCUGAUCAGUCUGUUACAGAAAUUCGGUCCACCAGGUGUCAGUGGGCUAAUAGCUCGCACUAAGAAAUUCUUGAGAGGUAAAAUCUGAGCCAUCUACUGACUUGACUUUGAUCGUACUGCUGACAGAAAUAAAGCUAAAAGUCAAAUACUAUGCCAGGAACCAUCUGAAAGGAUGGUUCAUGGAAUAGUUUCUUCUCCUGUACUGGAGGCUAGAUCUGAUCACACUGACAUAAAAGCAAAAGUUCAAAAGCUGGUUGAGGACUUGACGAGUGAUUCACUUGAAACUUUAAGAACUAGUACAGCUGAAAUGCGGUUGCUCACCAAGAUUAAUGCGAAUAAUCGGAGGGUGAUUGCAGACUAUGGGGCAAUUAAAGUUUUGGUCAAUCUGCUAAAUUCUACAGACACUAAGAUUCAAGAGAAUGCUGUUACAGCACUUGUUAACUUAUCAAUCGACUAUAAUUGCAAAACUAUCAUUGUUCAAGCUAAUGCAAUUGAGCCUUUGAUUCAUGUUCUUCAAACUGGAAGCCCGGAGGCAAAGGAGAACUCAGCUGCUACUCUUGGUAGUCUUUCCGUGAUUGAUGAUAACCAGGUCAACAUUGGUAGGUCCAGGGCAAUAGGGCAUCUGGUUGACUUGUUGAGGGAUGGUACUCCUCGGGGAAUGAGAGAUGCAGCUACCGCACUGUUUAAUUUGUCAUUGCUUUCCGAAAACAAGGCAAAAAUUGUGGAGGCUGGAUCAAUCAAGCAUCUUGUGAAGUUGAUGGACCCAGCUGCCGGAAUGGUUGAGAAGGCAGUGGUUGUUCUGGCAAAUCUUGCAUCAAUAGAUGAAGGAAGAAUCGAAAUUGUAUGUGAGGGUGGUAUUGCUUUGUUGGUUGACACUAUUGAGUUAGGUUCUGCCAGGGCAAAAGAGUAUGCAGCUGCAGCAUUAUUGUGGCUUUGUGCAACCACUAGUAGAUUUUGCAUCAUGGCAAUCCAAGAGGGAGCUAUCCCACCAUUAGUGGCACUGUCACAUUCAGGCACAGCACGGGCCAAGGAAAAGGCUCGGGCACUACUUAGCUGCUUCAGUAGAAAUAAGCUCGCAUCACAAUGCUAGAGGACUGGAAGUGACCCAUUCUUAGACAUGGUUCCAGAGGGCACACAAUUGCACUGUUGGCAGCAGAUUCCACAAUACUUCAAGCACCUGUCCUUCACCCCUGCAUUCAAGCAUCUUACCCCACAUUUUGAAUCACAAACACCUUCCAAAAGAAGAAAACAAAUAGAAAGAAAAAAGUCAAAACAAUAAACCAGUUAAUCACUUGAACAAGGUUGUAGAGGAAUCAGCAAUGGCAUAUUGGAGGAGGAAAGAGCUCAGAAUCAAUGAAAGAAGAACCAAAAUGACAGAAGCAGAUUUCAUCUUUCUCCUUCUGUUUUAAGGUUAGUGUUCUACUGACAUUUCAAUAAUUUCUAUCUGAUAUUUAUAGACUUGGUUUGUGGAGUGGAGGGGAAUGACAGAAAGGAAAAGGUCUCUGUAAAGAAUGUUUUAUUAAUUGAAAAGUGGGGUAUGAAUCAAUAGGAUGACCCAUGAGGGAAAGGCAUGGCAAAAUGCUUAUAAGAAUGGUUUACAGCCCAACUAGAGUGUAAAGAUGUAUGGUUUAGGUAUGUUUGGGGGCAUGAGCUGUCUGCACUCCUUAAUUUUCUUUUGUUUAUAUUUCUUAGGAAGGAUACCAACAA